CCUACGGGAGGCAGCAGUAGGGAAUUUUCCACAAUGAGCGAAAGCUUGACGGAGCGACACAGCGUGCACGAUGAAGGUCUUCGGUCUGUAAAGUUCUGUUAUAAGGGAAGAACAUCUGCAAUAGGAAAUGAUUUCAGACUGACGGUACCUUGUCAGAAAGCGACGGCUAACUAUGUGCCAGCAGCCGCGGUAAUACAUAGGUCGCAAGCGUUAUCCGGAAUUAUUGGGCGUAAAGCGUUCGUAGGCUGCUUGUAAGGUCUGUGGUUAAAUACCGAGGCUCAACCCCAGCACGCUUUAGAUACUAGGAAGCUAGAGUGAGGGAGAGGUAAGCGGAAUUCCAUGUGAAGCGGUGAAAUGCGUAGAUAUAUGGAAGAACACCAGAGGCGAAGGCGGCUUACUGGGUUGAAACUGACGCUGAGGGACGAAAGCGUGGGGAGCAAACAGGAUUAGAUACCCGAGUAGUC
RNAcentral lists this ribosomal RNA (464 nucleotides) under uncultured bacterium. RNAcentral's name for it is "partial 16S ribosomal RNA". It matches the Rfam family "Bacterial small subunit ribosomal RNA", at positions 338 to 795 of the family's 1533-position model. The record is from RNAcentral.